Molecule: long non-coding RNA, 1142 nt
Organism: Capsicum annuum
Lineage: Eukaryota; Viridiplantae; Streptophyta; Magnoliopsida; Solanales; Solanaceae
Exons: 2
Source: RefSeq, a predicted model, not a curated record
UGAAAAACUCAUUGGACAAUAUCCUGUGGAUUAAUUCAUACAUUAAAGAGAUGAAGGAGUUAGUUUUUAAUAUUUUAGGGUAAAAAGGAGGUUAUUUUGUAUUAUAAAAGAGGGGAAGGGGGUAAUUUUUAUCAUCACUCAAAAUACACAACACAGACUUUAACAAAACACACAGAUAUACACACAUAUUAGAUACCUCUCUCCUCUCUCAUUUUCUCUCUUUUUUCUCCUUCUUAGUGCCGCUAAAAUCUAUUGUAUUCCGGUGAGCUUUCCGCUGACAAACCACCACCGUAAACCCUAUCCUCUUUCUCUCUCUAAAAAACCACAACCGCAUUACCACUAGCCGACCGACGUUGUACGAAUACCACAAUCACUGCACCACUCUUCCUCUCUUCCUCUUUUUAUUUCUGUCACCUUUCGCUAGAGGUGAUGACCGGUGAGAUCCAUAAAGACCACCACUCCUACCGAACCAGCCACCUAUAGCCUGGAGCGCCACCCCUUCCCACCCUUCUUCUUUUCUUUAUCCUCUAUGGCGUUGGGUAGUCAACCACCCACAGCCACCGCUGUCCACCACUCUAAUCCCAUCGGCCGUCGCGUCUCCAUUAACCUCCUUCCCCUUCCCCUUCUCCCUUAUUUUUGGCCACGACUCACCGGAGUUGGUCACCGACAGAUGGGCCUCCGGUUAAGCACAUCCAACCGUCUUUCAUCCCUUGUUUUUGCCAUUCCUUCGCCAGAGGAGAUAAUUUUGCUGGUUUCAAGAAAGAGAGCAGGAAAGCAGUGUGACAACCUAUUUUAUGAAAUUCUUUUAUCAUAAAGCAUAUAUUUAUUAACUGAUAGAAAAGGGGAAGUAAAAAUUUUCAACUUUGCUAGAAUUUUUUCAUGCUGAAUCUACUUUUUUCUUGGUUGAACCGGAUGGGUAUGAUUUUAUAGAUCUGGUUGUUUAUUGUAUUUUCGACAUUCACCGUAGAAGCAAUGUUUCCCUCCCUCAUUUAUUGCAGAUCUGGUUGUAGUUUUUAUUCUCCGGUGAAGCUUUGUUAAAACUGAUAAGCUCCACUGUUUUCACUAUUUUUUUCAUAACCUUGUUAAUUGUAUUUACAAUUUCUUUUCUUUUCUUUUGCUAAGUUUUGCUUGCUGCCCUGUGA